AAUCCCAUUCCGCUUGCGGAAAAUGGGAUUUCUUUUUUAGAGACACAAACCCCAAUGAGCAUGCAGCGCUUUGCGCGAAAUGCGAAUGGGGGUUAGAAUUGCGAGAGUGCGGAGCACAAAGCAAUUCGUAG
Molecule: small RNA, 131 nt
Filed under: uncultured Eubacterium sp.
Lineage: Bacteria; Bacillati; Bacillota; Clostridia; Eubacteriales; Eubacteriaceae
Description: Clostridiales-1 RNA
Rfam family: Clostridiales-1 RNA
Source: RNAcentral